AGAUAGCUGGUUCUCCCCGAAAGCUAUUUAGGUAGCGCCUCGUGAAUUCAUCUCCGGGGGUAGAGCACUGUUUCGGCUAGGGGGCCAUCCCGGCUUACCAACCCGAUGCAAACUGCGAAUACCGGAGAAUGUUAUCACGGGAGACACACGGCGGGUGCUAACGUCCGUCGUGAAGAGGGAAACAACCCAGACCGCCAGCUAAGGUCCCAAAGUCAUGGUUAAGUGGGAAACGAUGUGGGAAGGCCCAGACAGCCAGGAUGUUGGCUUAGAAGCAGCCAUCAUUUAAAGAAAGCGUAAUAGCUCACUGGUCGAGUCGGCCUGCGCGGAAGAUGUAACGGGGCUAAACCAUGCACCGAAGCUGCGGCAGCGACGCUGAUGCGUUGUUGGGUAGGGGAGCGUUCUGUAAGCCUGUGAAGGUGGCCUGUGAGGGUUGCUGGAGGUAUCAGAAGUGCGAAUGCUGACAUAAGUAACGAUAAAGCGGGUGAAAAGCCCGCUCGCCGGAAGACCAAGGGUUCCUGUCCAACGUUAAUCGGGGCAGGGUGAGUCGACCCCUAAGGCGAGGCCGAAAGGCGUAGUCGAUGGGAAACGGGUUAAUAUUCCCGUACUUGGUGUUACUGCGAAGGGGGGACGGAGAAGGCUAUGUUGGCCGGGCGACGGUU
Molecule: ribosomal RNA, 659 nt
Filed under: Salmonella enterica subsp. enterica serovar Kentucky
Lineage: Bacteria; Pseudomonadati; Pseudomonadota; Gammaproteobacteria; Enterobacterales; Enterobacteriaceae
Description: partial 23S ribosomal RNA
Rfam family: Bacterial large subunit ribosomal RNA
Source: RNAcentral